RNAcentral lists this ribosomal RNA (779 nucleotides) under uncultured Neocallimastigales. RNAcentral describes it as "partial large subunit ribosomal RNA". It matches the Rfam family "Eukaryotic large subunit ribosomal RNA", at positions 22 to 614 of the family's 3401-position model. The record is from RNAcentral. Lineage: Eukaryota; Fungi; Neocallimastigomycota; Neocallimastigomycetes; Neocallimastigales.
GUACACGCUGUGACUAGCAUAUCAAUAAGCGGAGGAAAAGAAACUAACAAGGAUUCCCUUAGUAACGGCGAGCUGAAGCGGGAAGAGCUCAAAUUUGAAAUCUUGAAAGGUCACCUUUCACGAAUUGUAGUUUAAAGAAGUGUUUUCUGUGACGAUCUGGUAAUAUAAGUUCUUUGGAAUAGGACAUCACAGAGGGUGAGAAUCCCGUCUAUGAUUGCGAUUUGUAGCUUUGUGAUACACUUUCAAAGAGUCGGGUUGUUUGGGAAUGCAGCCCAAAACGGGAGGUAAAUUCCUUCUAAGGCUAAAUAUUGGCGAGAGACCGAUAGCGAACAAGUACCGUGAGGGAAAGAUGAAAAGAACUUUGAAAAGAGAGUUAAACAGUACGUGAAAUUGUCAAAAGGGAAGCGUUUAACACCAGUGUUGUUUUCUCGAAAAUCAAUUAAAAAUGGCUCGAUUUUGUAUUGCUGAGACCUUAAAAGCUCACUGUACAUUUUUCGUGUCUUUUUUAAUGCACUUUUCGUUUAACAAGUCAACAUCAGUUUCUUUUGUUGUAAAAGGGUCAUUGGAAGGUGGCUUUCCUUUUCGGAGAAAGUGUUUAUAGCCUUUGGCCUCUGCAAUCGAAGAGACUGAGGUCUGCAGCGUAGACUCUUCGGGGUUAGAUACAGUUUGUGCUAAGUUAUAGCUUUUUAUAGACAACUUGUUGACUAUAAUUAGUCUUGUAGCUUACUCGCUUAUGCUAUUUUACCUACGCUUAGGAUGUUGAGUAGCGACAUACGCAC